GGAGAGAUAUACCGUAAGUGGUAGCGGGGCAGACUGUAAAUCUGUUGCUUUAAUGCUCGGAGUGUUCGACUCACUCUCUCUCCACCA
This 87-nucleotide transfer RNA is filed under the name Caudoviricetes sp. RNAcentral's name for it is "tRNA-Tyr". It matches the Rfam family "tRNA". Rfam says of the family: Transfer RNA (tRNA) molecules are approximately 80 nucleotides in length. Their secondary structure includes four short double-helical elements and three loops (D, anti-codon, and T loops). Further hydrogen bonds mediate the characteristic L-shaped molecular structure. tRNAs have two regions of fundamental functional importance: the anti-codon, which is responsible for specific mRNA codon recognition, and the 3' end, to which the tRNAs corresponding amino acid is attached (by aminoacyl-tRNA synthetases). tRNAs cope with the degeneracy of the genetic code in two manners: having more than one tRNA (with a specific anti-codon) for a particular amino acid; and 'wobble' base-pairing, i.e. permitting non-standard base-pairing at the 3rd anti-codon position. Lineage: Duplodnaviria; Heunggongvirae; Uroviricota; Caudoviricetes. The record is from RNAcentral.